RNAcentral lists this ribosomal RNA (253 nucleotides) under uncultured bacterium. Its description in RNAcentral is "partial 16S ribosomal RNA". It matches the Rfam family "Bacterial small subunit ribosomal RNA", at positions 524 to 776 of the family's 1533-position model. The record is from RNAcentral.
UACAUGGGGUGCAACCGUUGCUCGGAAUUAUUGGGCGUAAAGCGCGCGUAGGCGGUUACUUAAGUCGGAUGUGAAAGCCCUCGGCUUAACUGAGGAAGUGCAUCCGAAACUGAGUAGCUAGAGUACGAAAGAGGGUCGCGGAAUUCCCGGUGUAGAGGUGAAAUUCGUAGAUAUCGGGAGGAACACCGGUGGCGAAGGCGGCGACCUGGGUCGAGACUGACGCUGAGGCGCGAAAGCGUGGGGAGCAAACAGG